AGGUCUCUAGCUUGAGAUAGAGAUAUCACUCUAUGGCCCACAAACUAGGAGGUUUUAUUCUUCAGAAGCCAAGAGAUUCUUUCUCUAACAGAGUUUCCCAUGGCCUGGAAGAUAACCUAUGACUCUCUAACCCAGUAAGCAUGGCUGCUGGCCUCUUCUCUGUUCAUUCUACUCAUGAACCCGAUGCUCUGGUCAUGUGGAAUUCCAAAUUUGAUAUGCUAAAAAUGAAGAAACAAAACGAAAUGAUUCCUUGUAUAUUCUGUAAGUUGAUUCCCCACAUCCCCACACAGAUACAAGGCAAAUGCAAAACACUCAGCUAAGAAUUCAGCCAUCUCUGCCUUGCACAUGUUUCCAUUGCCCAGAUUUCCUCUUUUGAUGGUUGUCCGGAGUUCACCUGUUCUCAGCCCUCCCUCUUCUGGGAAGCCUUUUCUGAUUUUGGUGCAGCCAUCAGUGAGAUCUCUUUUCUUUGUACCCACAGCAAUCUACAAUUCCAAUAUUGCUUUAACCUCUACAAACAACCCCUUGAACUCAGAGUGAAAAUAGAGUCACAUUUGUUGGAUGUUUCCAGUUGAUCUCUCAGGUCCCCAGAUGCUUCAUGACUGCAUACAUCACUCCAUCCUAUGACUUCAUUAUUGUACAGUGUUAAAUUUUUGGAGUACUCUCUCAACAGAAAAAAAAAACUGUUAAAAAUGAACAAGCAGAACAACCAUCGCAACAACAAUAAACACAACAUGAGCUUAUGAAAUCCCCAACCUCUAAGAUAAAGCAAGAGGAGGGGUGUCAGAUAAGAGCAUUUCUCUCAUUGCUUUCAGCUGCCAAAUCUGUCCCUUUAGAAACUGCUAAUCUCUGCUCUGACAGGCCAUACGGCUCAUCUUGCCACAAGACCUCACUUGUCCAAUUGUCAUGCCACCUGCCGUGGUUCUUCAAGGGAGAACAUGCUUAUAUAUUCUUAGCUGAGCCAGGCAAAGAGGUCCCCAAUGUGGAGUUCUCUAUUUGAAAAUCCUCAUACUCAGCUCUCUCAGGUAUGUAGCCAAGUUAUCUGCUAGACCCAAGAAUUCUGGUCAAGGAAGUGACUACGUCUGCUAUAUCACCAGCCUAGAAUCCCUGUGCCCUUUCCUUCCUGGGAAUUGACUUAAGGGGGCAGGCAGAUUUUUCAUGCACAAAGGAUCAGACUGCCCUUCCCUUAUAUAAUGGGGUGACAGUCUCAUCCUUCCAAGAGAUGUGUCCUUAGUUCCUCAGUUUUCUUUUAUGGAACUCUAACCUCAGUGACAAAAGAGUGAUUUAUCUUUCCAGUAGAGGCUCAUCAUGGGAUUUCAAAAUAUCUACAUGUAUGUUCAGAUUUGCAAAGUACCCUAUUCUCUUUUUCCCCAGUUCUAGGAGAGACUGCUCUUGAUGAAUCAAAAAUGGUUUCCUGGCAUGUGUCUUGUUGAGAACAGAAGGAAAAACAAAAUUUAAUCACUGGCAUAUAUCCCACCACAAUCAAUUUCACGAUUCUAUAAUGCAAUUGCACCAUUUCUUGCUAAUAUGUGCUAUUAGACAGCAGAUUUGUUGAGAGUGGGAAUUACAUCUUACCUAUAACCAUUAAGGCAUUACACCUUAAUUCUAUCCAUGCACAGUUUCUAAGCUAGAACCUGCUGCGGAGUUGCACUCUAGUGAUUUAUUUAUUAUUUCACUAAAGAAAGAAGACUGAAUGAGUGCAUGGAUCUCCUCCUAGAGUCCUUUCUGGGCACCAUGUUCAAAAUGAAAAAGGUCUUUUAUCUGUGGUCACCAAAAUUAUAUUUCUGAAAAAGAUGCUGAAGUUUGUCUUUGAUAAGCUCUCUUACAUGUAAUUACCUAUGUUCCUGGCUAUCUUUUAUAAAGCAGCAAUAAACUCAAGAUUGUCUAAUAACAAUACCAGUGGAAGUACUAUGUGCAAAGACCCCUUGGGAAUCCCAGGAUGGAAACACCUUCCAUUAAAAAAGGUAACAGUCUCUUCCUUGGCAAUACAGGAUAAUGGUGAUAUCAGAAUAUUUCAGAACGUAUGUGCCUACUUAUCAACAGGUAUCAGUGUGAAGACACUGUGUACAGGUUCUGGCUCUAGCUCUGCUGCCAACCUACUAAGCUAGCUUUGAUAAGUCUUUGUCCAUCUCUGG
Molecule: long non-coding RNA, 2132 nt
Filed under: Homo sapiens (human)
Lineage: Eukaryota; Metazoa; Chordata; Mammalia; Primates; Hominidae
Description: long non-coding RNA NONHSAT220064.1
Source: RNAcentral